GACGAACGCUGGCGGCGUGCUUAACACAUGCAAGUCGAACGGAAAGGCCCUGCUUUUGUGGGGUGCUCGGGUGGCGAACGGGUGAGUAACACGUAAGUAACCUGCCCUUGUCUUUGGGAUAACUUAAGGUAACUGGGGUUAAUACCGGAUAGGAGCUCCUGCUGCAUGGUGGGGGUUGGAACGUUUCGGCGGGUGGGGAUGGACGCGCGGCUUAUCAGCUUGUUGGUGGGGGAGUGGCUUACCAAGGGUUUGACGGGUAGCCGGCCUGGGAGGGCGACCGGCCACAUUGGGACUGAGAUACGGCCCAGACUCCUACGGGAGGCAGCAGUGGGGAAUAUUGCACAAUGGGCGGAAGCCUGAUGCAGCAACGCCGCGUGCGGGAUGACGGCCUUCGGGUUGUAAACCGCUUUCGGCUGUGACGAAGCGUGAGUGACGGUAAUGGGUAAAGAAGCACCAGCUAACUACGUG
This 468-nucleotide ribosomal RNA is filed under the name uncultured bacterium. Its description in RNAcentral is "partial 16S ribosomal RNA". It matches the Rfam family "Bacterial small subunit ribosomal RNA", at positions 28 to 507 of the family's 1533-position model. The record is from RNAcentral.